GGAGGAGCUGAUGGAGGCCCUGACUGGUGGAGGAACCGAUGGAGGCCCUGCCUGGUGGAGGAACCGAUGGAGGCCCUGCCUGGUGGAGGAACCAAUGGAGGCCCUGCCUGGUUGAGGAUUUCUGUCGUUGGGUAGAUGGAGCCCGACUCUGAAACUAUGAAUCUGUCUGAAGAGAGCUGGUGGGGGAGCUGAGAAGCUGUAAGACGAUUAGGAAUUGACAACAAGGAUUCCUUACGUUGGGGCCAGAUUUGAGCUGUUUGUUCCAGACCAUGACUCUGGCUGAGGAGUGCUGAUGGAGGAGCCAAGACUCUGGAGGACGACAUCACUCUACCAACAAGGAUCCUCGUCAGUUUGCAUAAAGAAUCUGGAGGACUGACGGAGAAGCCAUACCUGUGGAAGG
This is a long non-coding RNA of Gadus morhua (Atlantic cod), 400 nucleotides long. RefSeq lists it as uncharacterized. The record is from RefSeq and is a predicted model, not a curated record. NCBI's taxonomy places the organism in Eukaryota, Metazoa, Chordata, Actinopteri, Gadiformes, Gadidae. The transcript is spliced from 4 exons.